CCCGCGUAAUUUAGGCAUAUUAGUAAGCGGAGGAAGAACUAACUAGGAUUCCCUUAGUAGCUGCGAGCGAACAGGGAGGAGCCCAGCGCCGAAUCCCCGAGACUCAGUUUCGAGGGAAAUGUGGUGUUUGGGAGGGUUCUUAUACCCGAUGCUAUCGCACUGCGUCCAAGUCCAUCUUGAAUGAGGCCACGGUCCCGAGAGGGUGCCAGGCCCGUAGUUGGCCGGUGCUGGUGUUGGGUGAACUUCUCCUUAGAGUCAGGUUGCUUGAGAGUGCAGCCCUAAGUUGGUGGUAAACUCCAUCUAAGGCUAAAUACAACCACGAGACCGAUAGCGAACAAGUACCGUGAGGGAAAGUUGAAAAGAACUUUGAAGAGAGAGUUCAAGAGUACGUGAAACCGCUCAGGGGUAAACGGAAAAGACCCGAAUUUUCCGAAAGGGGAGAUUCACGUCUCCUCGCUGGUCCGGCUUUUCGCUCAUUGCAGACGGUUUCAUGCCUCUCUUCGAACUUGUUCGUUGUGAGCGCUGAAAUCGCCGUGAGUGAGAAUGAAGGAUCGCGGCAGACCGCACUUCUCCCCUAGUAGGACGUCGUGACCCGUUCGGCCAUGGUCUAAGAUUGCAGAAGUGAGCCUGUACGAGAGCUAUUUGCGUAGCUUCCUCGAACAACCUUUUGCAAAUCCGACCAAGGAUGCUCCGGGCGGUAUCAAAAGAUAGUGUCGAACCGCUCUUCUGGAGGAGAAAUCCUUCGUCGAGAGCGCGAUCAGUAUCUGGCAAGGCGCUGAGAUGCGUUUGUCAAGACGGGCCUCCGUCCGUCUUGGCUGCUCUUGGACCUGUUGGUCGGAUUGCUCUUUCGCCGGUUCAAAACUUUGGCACUAGUCUACGGCGUAACAGUUUUGGGCUCUUGUCCGACCCGUCUUGAAACACGGACCAAGGAGUUUAGCGUGUGCGCGAGUCAUUGAGUGAUCAAACUCAAAGGCGCAAUGAAAGUGAAGGAAACUUUACGUUUCUGAGGGAAGAUGAGAUUCAUCCACGGGUGGUCUCCGCACUCCCGGGGCGUCUCUAUCUCAUUGCGAGAGGAGGCGCACCCAGAGCGUACACGCUGAUACCCGAAAGAUGGUGAACUAUGCCUGGCCAGGACGAAGCCAGGGGAAACCCUGGUGGAGGUCCGCAGCGAUUCUGACGUGCAAAUCGAUCGUCGGAGCUGGGUUUAGGGGCGAAAGACCAAUCGAACCAUCUAGUAGCUGGUUCCCUCUGAAGUUUCCCUCAGGAUAGCUUGCGCUCGGGCGAGACGAGUCUCAUCCGGUAGAGCGAAUGAUUAGAGGCCUUGGGGUCGAAACGACCUCAACCUAUUCUCAAACUCCAAAUAGAUGAGAACCCUGGCUUUCUUGAAUCAUGAAGCCAGGGGUUCGGAUCAGAGUGCCAAGUGGGCCAAUUUUGGUAAGCAGAACUGGCGCUGUGGGAUGAACCAAACGCGAAGUUAAGGCGCCUCAAUCGACGCUCAUGUGAGACCAUGAAAGGCGUUGGUUGCUUAAGACAGCAGGACGGUGGCCAUGGAAGUCGGAAUCCGCUAAGGAGUGUGUAACAACUCACCUGCCGAAGCAACUAGCCCUGAAAAUGGAUGGCGCUGUAGCGUCGUGCCUAUACUUCGCCGUCAACGGCAACGCGGGCAGUCUUGUAACGAGACGGCGCUGUUACGCCUUGACGAGUAAGAGGGCCGCGGCGAUGUGCGCAGAAGGGUAUUGGGCGUGAGCCUGCCUGGAGCCGUCGUCGGUGCAGAUCUUGGUGGUAGUAGCAAAUACUCCAGCGAGGCCCUGGAGGACUGAUGUGGAGAAGGGUUUCUUGUGAACAGCUGUUGCACAAGAGUCAGUCGAUCCUAAGCCCUAGGAGAAAUCCGAAGCGAUGGGUUGCCGUUAACAACGAAAAAUUGUUGGCACCAUUCGGGCGAAAGGGAAUCUGGUUCCUAUUCCAGAACCUGGUAGUGGAACCGUUCCAAAUCGGGCCCUCAUCCGAGGACUCGUCAGGGCAACCUGAGAAGACCCGGAGACGCCGUCGAGAGAUUCAGGGAGAGUUGUCUCUUCUCUAUAAGCGUUCGAGUUCCCUGGAAACCUCUAGCAGGGAGAUAGGGUUUGGAACGCGAAGAGCACCGCACUUACGGCGGUGUCUGAAUCUUCUCCACGGACCUUGAAAAUCCGGGAGAGGGCCACGAGGAAUCCCACGCCAGCUCGUACCCAUAUCCGCAGCAGGUCUCCAAGGUAAAAGCCU
RNAcentral lists this ribosomal RNA (2259 nucleotides) under Microtechnites bractatus. Its description in RNAcentral is "eukaryotic LSU rRNA". It matches the Rfam family "Eukaryotic large subunit ribosomal RNA", at positions 24 to 1882 of the family's 3401-position model. The record is from RNAcentral. Lineage: Eukaryota; Metazoa; Arthropoda; Insecta; Hemiptera; Miridae.